UCUGGUCUGAGAAAUGUAAUUUGGAGCGAGUGAGGAAUCUGCAACAAUAUUUGUCUCCUUUCGUGUCUAAGGGUAAUGAGUUUGGGUGGAUUGAUGUGUUCUUUGUCUUGCCUUCAGGUGCAGACAUCUCACAGAUGAUUGGAUGACAGCCGGCUCAUGACAAUGCUGAAGGAAAUGCAUUGGCUGCCAGAGUAAACGCAUCACUGUCGUUGAACACUCGAACAUUUGCAUAAUUAGGCUGCACAAUCCUAGCGGUCUCUUUUCAUAACAAUUAAACCGAUCUAAUUUGGGAGGAGUAAACAGACUGAGAGCCCUACGGGGUGAGCAACUUUGAAAACUGUUCCACGCAAACUCUUGCUUGAUGAUCUUUGCUAAUUAUACAGUGUUGCACUUCCUGUAAAAAUGAAAAGUAAUCGGUGAAUGUCAUCGCCUGAAGCUUAUCAAGAAACGAGCAGGCAACCAUGACCGGACAAGGAUUUUUCUUUGUCUUUUCUUUUUUUUUUUUGGAGGGGGGUGGAGAGAAGACAUAUUCAGGCUUCAAUCUAAAAUCAAGAGCAUAACGCAGAUAAAAUUAACAAUUUGAUUUGGGAGUGUUGUGUGUGUCUAAAUAAUCUGACAAUUAGUCUUUCCUAUCAUUAUAGUGAUUCUCAUUAGGAUGUGGUGACCUCUUCUAAUCUGAGUGAAUUCAAACAUCUAAAAAGCCAGUUGGAGGGAAGGGUUGCAGGUCAGAGAUUGCUACUGAUGUGCUACAACUGAUAGCACAACAAUGAAGUCCAGGUAAUCCUGGCCACGGUCCUGGAGCCUGAGAACAUUUCUGCGUGUUCUGUGCACUCAAACCAAUGCCAGACUUUCCUGGAAGGCUUCCAUACCCCCAUACUGGAGUCUCCCAAGCAACAAAAAUAAAUAAAAUGCUGGUUAAAACAC
This is a long non-coding RNA of Anguilla rostrata (American eel), 924 nucleotides long. RefSeq lists it as uncharacterized. The transcript has 2 exons. The record is from RefSeq and is a predicted model, not a curated record. NCBI's taxonomy places the organism in Eukaryota, Metazoa, Chordata, Actinopteri, Anguilliformes, Anguillidae.